This 628-nucleotide ribosomal RNA is filed under the name uncultured bacterium. RNAcentral's name for it is "bacterial SSU rRNA". It matches the Rfam family "Bacterial small subunit ribosomal RNA", at positions 380 to 997 of the family's 1533-position model. The record is from RNAcentral.
AGUCUCACGGAGCUACGCCGCGUGAGUGAUGAAGGUUUUCGGAUCGUAAAACUCUGUUGUUAGGGAAGAACAAGUUGGGUAGUAACUGACCCAACCUUGACGGUACCUAACCAGAAAGCCACGGCUAACUACGUGCCAGCAGCCGCGGUAAUACGUAGGUGGCAAGCGUUGUCCGGAAUUAUUGGGCGUAAAGCGCUCGCAGGCGGUCCUUUAAGUCUGAUGUGAAAUCUCGCGGCUCAACCGCGAACGGUCAUUGGAAACUGGAGGACUUGAGUACAGAAGAGGAGAGUGGAAUUCCACGUGUAGCGGUGAAAUGCGUAGAGAUGUGGAGGAACACCAGUGGCGAAGGCAACUCUCUGGUCUGUAACUGACGCUGAGGAGCGAAAGCGUGGGGAGCGAACAGGAUUAGAUACCCUGGUAGUCCACGCCGUAAACGAUGAGUGCUAGGUGUUAGGGGGUUUCCGCCCCUUAGUGCUGAAGUUAACGCAUUAAGCACUCCGCCUGGGGAGUACGGCCGCAAGGCUGAAACUCCAAGGAAUUGACGGGUGUGCCGCACAAGCGGUGGAGCAUGUGGGAAAAUUCGAAGCAACGCGAAGAACCUUACCAGGUCUUUGACAUCUUCGGACAA